Molecule: transfer RNA, 73 nt
Filed under: Candidatus Aenigmarchaeota archaeon CG1_02_38_14
Lineage: Archaea; Nanobdellati; Candidatus Aenigmatarchaeota
Also listed under: 3 other names
Description: tRNA-Thr
Rfam family: tRNA
About the family: Transfer RNA (tRNA) molecules are approximately 80 nucleotides in length. Their secondary structure includes four short double-helical elements and three loops (D, anti-codon, and T loops).
Source: RNAcentral
GCCUCAUUAGCUCAGUUGGUAGAGCGCAUGCUUGGUAAGCAUGAGGUCUCGGGUUCAAUCCCCGAAUGAGGCU